Molecule: ribosomal RNA, 1464 nt
Filed under: Leuconostoc mesenteroides subsp. mesenteroides
Lineage: Bacteria; Bacillati; Bacillota; Bacilli; Lactobacillales; Lactobacillaceae
Description: bacterial SSU rRNA
Rfam family: Bacterial small subunit ribosomal RNA
Source: RNAcentral
AACGCUGGCGGCGUGCCUAAUACAUGCAAGUCGAACGCACAGCGAAAGGUGCUUGCACCUUUCAAGUGAGUGGCGAACGGGUGAGUAACACGUGGACAACCUGCCUCAAGGCUGGGGAUAACAUUUGGAAACAGAUGCUAAUACCGAAUAAAACUUAGUGUCGCAUGACACAAAGUUAAAAGGCGCUUCGGCGUCACCUAGAGAUGGAUCCGCGGUGCAUUAGUUAGUUGGUGGGGUAAAGGCCUACCAAGACAAUGAUGCAUAGCCGAGUUGAGAGACUGAUCGGCCACAUUGGGACUGAGACACGGCCCAAACUCCUACGGGAGGCUGCAGUAGGGAAUCUUCCACAAUGGGCGAAAGCCUGAUGGAGCAACGCCGCGUGUGUGAUGAAGGCUUUCGGGUCGUAAAGCACUGUUGUAUGGGAAGAACAGCUAGAAUAGGAAAUGAUUUUAGUUUGACGGUACCAUACCAGAAAGGGACGGCUAAAUACGUGCCAGCAGCCGCGGUAAUACGUAUGUCCCGAGCGUUAUCCGGAUUUAUUGGGCGUAAAGCGAGCGCAGACGGUUUAUUAAGUCUGAUGUGAAAGCCCGGAGCUCAACUCCGGAAUGGCAUUGGAAACUGGUUAACUUGAGUGCAGUAGAGGUAAGUGGAACUCCAUGUGUAGCGGUGGAAUGCGUAGAUAUAUGGAAGAACACCAGUGGCGAAGGCGGCUUACUGGACUGCAACUGACGUUGAGGCUCGAAAGUGUGGGUAGCAAACAGGAUUAGAUACCCUGGUAGUCCACACCGUAAACGAUGAACACUAGGUGUUAGGAGGUUUCCGCCUCUUAGUGCCGAAGCUAACGCAUUAAGUGUUCCGCCUGGGGAGUACGACCGCAAGGUUGAAACUCAAAGGAAUUGACGGGGACCCGCACAAGCGGUGGAGCAUGUGGUUUAAUUCGAAGCAACGCGAAGAACCUUACCAGGUCUUGACAUCCUUUGAAGCUUUUAGAGAUAGAAGUGUUCUCUUCGGAGACAAAGUGACAGGUGGUGCAUGGUCGUCGUCAGCUCGUGUCGUGAGAUGUUGGGUUAAGUCCCGCAACGAGCGCAACCCUUAUUGUUAGUUGCCAGCAUUCAGAUGGGCACUCUAGCGAGACUGCCGGUGACAAACCGGAGGAAGGCGGGGACGACGUCAGAUCAUCAUGCCCCUUAUGACCUGGGCUACACACGUGCUACAAUGGCGUAUACAACGAGUUGCCAACCCGCGAGGGUGAGCUAAUCUCUUAAAGUACGUCUCAGUUCGGAUUGUAGUCUGCAACUCGACUACAUGAAGUCGGAAUCGCUAGUAAUCGCGGAUCAGCACGCCGCGGUGAAUACGUUCCCGGGUCUUGUACACACCGCCCGUCACACCAUGGGAGUUUGUAAUGCCCAAAGCCGGUGGCCUAACCUUUUAGGAAGGAGCCGUCUAAGGCAGGACAGAUGACUG